AACAAUGUGCGGGAUAUCCCACCGGGGACUCCUUAGCGUAACACAUCCAUGAGUACACUUCCAUGUUGCUUCCCCAGAUCAGUGGCCACUGCUGCCAGCUCUGUUCUCCAAUGCGGGAUCUUGAGUUGAGGUGUCUGGGGAAGGGCCAACUGUCAAACUUUUGAACCAAUUAGUAGUCUGAGAAGGCUAUAUGCCGCAAUAUUUAAAACAUGUUAAAACUUUCAACAACGGAUCUCUUGGCUCUCGCAUCGAUGAAGAACGCAGCGAAAUGCGAUAAGUAAUGUGAAUUGCAGAAUUCAGUGAAUCAUCGAAUCUUUGAACGCACAUUGCGCCCUUUGGCAUUCCUUAGGGCAUGCCUGUUCGAGCGUCACUAAAACCACCUCACAGAUAAUGUGGUAUUGGUGGAAGUGGGUAGUACUAACAGUGCUUUGUCCUACUCUACUAAAAUGGAUAGGCCAGAAAAGUGAACCAUGGUAAUAGACUCUCAGAGUGUUCUAGAAUGCUAAACUAGUCUUAUCCAGGUUGGAAUCUGAGCUACUGGACCCCCCAUUUAGUCCAAAACAGAGAGGUUGACCUCGGAUCAGGUAGGGAUACCCGCUGAACUUAAGCAUAUCAAUAAGCGGAGGA
This 627-nucleotide small RNA is filed under the name Tuber sp. 15 KA-2010. Its description in RNAcentral is "eukaryotic LSU rRNA". The stretch from base 217 to 370 matches the Rfam family "5.8S ribosomal RNA". The record is from RNAcentral. Lineage: Eukaryota; Fungi; Ascomycota; Pezizomycetes; Pezizales; Tuberaceae.